RNAcentral lists this ribosomal RNA (490 nucleotides) under Synechococcus sp. CCY0464. RNAcentral's name for it is "bacterial SSU rRNA". It matches the Rfam family "Bacterial small subunit ribosomal RNA", at positions 1045 to 1533 of the family's 1533-position model. The record is from RNAcentral. Lineage: Bacteria; Bacillati; Cyanobacteriota; Cyanophyceae; Synechococcales; Synechococcaceae.
AUGGCUGUCGUCAGCUCGCGUCGUGAGAUGUUGGGUUAAGUCCCGCAACGAGCGCAACCCACGUCUUUAGUUGCCAGCAUUCAGUUGGGCACUCUAGAGAGACCGCCGGUGAUAAACCGGAGGAAGGUGUGGAUGACGUCAAGUCAUCAUGCCCCUUACAUCCUGGGCUACACACGUACUACAAUGCUACGGACAAAGGGCAGCAAACUCGCGAGAGCUAGCAAAUCCCAUAAACCGUGGCUCAGUUCAGAUCGUAGGCUGCAACUCGCCUACGUGAAGGAGGAAUCGCUAGUAAUCGCAGGUCAGCAUACUGCGGUGAAUACGUUCCCGGGCCUUGUACACACCGCCCGUCACACCAUGGAAGUUGGCCAUGCCCGAAGUCGUUACUCCAACCCGCAAGGGAGGAGGACGCCGAAGGUGGGGCUGAUGACUGGGGUGAAGUCGUAACAAGGUAGCCGUACCGGAAGGUGCGGCUGGAUCACCUCCUAAC